UGCUCUCAACUGUCACAGCAGCAGUGCGUGGCAUGGAUGCUAGCACAUCUGUCAUGCUCCUAAUCAACAUGAGGAAAUAGGUCCUCUUCUCCAAAGGUCAUAGAUCUGCACGCAGGGGUAAAAAUCAGAACUGGAAAUUGAAUUAAUAUAUCCAGCAAAAUCACUGGCAAGAAUAAAAGCAUCUGAAGAAUUUCUUUACUAAUAAUACAACUUUAAUUUCAGUAUAGUAAUGACCUUCAACGAUGCUGAAAUCUCAACUUAAACAAAUCAGUAUAGAUUAACACGAGAGGAUUAGCUACUCCACUUGUCAAAGAACCAAUUUUAAAGUGUAUGUGUGAUAUCACAUAGGUUUCUGAAUUUGUCAUUACGCUAAACAGUGCAAACUAGCUACAUGGAAUUAAAAAAUAAAGCUGACACCGAUUUCCACAAUAGAAAGUUAGAGCUGAAAUUGUAGUCAAGUAAAUGGAUCUCUAUACAUACCAAUGAUAAUAACCAGUGAGAAUCAUGAGCAUAUUCACAGUUUGUAA
Molecule: long non-coding RNA, 527 nt
Filed under: Setaria viridis
Lineage: Eukaryota; Viridiplantae; Streptophyta; Magnoliopsida; Poales; Poaceae
Description: long non-coding RNA (SVIR_LNC001926)
Source: RNAcentral